GCCCCUCCCCCCGCCUUUUCCUCCAUCUCUCUUACUCUCUAUCCGAGCCUCUCCACCCGCUCAGCAGGGAGCGUUGUGAGUUUCUUUCGAACAAAGUUUAAAGAUCUCUGUUUGAACCCAAGCCAUCCGCAAUCAGACUGCAUUUCUAAUCCUCCCUCCCUCUCUCCCUCCCUCACACAUACACACACAGUCUGUCUCUUUCUCCCUUUCAGUCAAUCCCCUUCCUCUCUUGGUCCUACUCAAGCCUUUUCCCACCCCCGACUCUGCCUCGGCGAUGAGUCCGCUGUCUGGAUCCCUUUUCCCAGGCGUGGGCUGAGGACCCAGCGGUUCGGCAGCGGGGAUCAUCGCACGACGCUCCCGGACCCCUACAACCUCCUGUUCUCCAGCGGCCUCCAGCAUCACCACCGGGCUGGGAGCAGGCAUCCGGGCUGCCGGAGCGCUCGCUGCUCAGUGGCUCAGUCCUGCGCCGCCUUUGCCGGGAGCGGGGAUCCGAGGUGGGAGAAGGCCUCUUCGCCCGGCUCCUGGGCACAGCUACCUGCCUGAACAGCUGCCUGGCACCGAGCCUGCGCUCCCCGAGCACCCGGCCGCGGGUCCGCGACGCCUUCCGGGGCUGAGUAGCCGAAAACUAUCUCCUACUGCAAGAAUCUACCCCGGAAGAGAGAGCCCAGAGAAUUGCCCAAGCUGUCUGCAAACAGUCAAUUGACGUGAAGGAAAAUUGGGACCAAUUGAAAACCCAUGCGAGCAACUGGCAGAAACAGGUGGAAAAGGCGUUAGAGAAACUUCAAGAACCGCAGAAAGCUCUGGAUGAUCUUGAGUCUCAUGUGAUAACAGCUGAGGGGGUCCACACUGAUUGGCAACCUGUGAAUGACCUGUUUAUUGACGCAUUGCAGGAUCACAUUGAUAAAACCACAGGUAAGGACUGCCUGCAAAAUCUGAGAUUGGGUUUUGAAAGACAUCAACCUUUGCUUGCGAGAGAUAAUGGUAACUGCAGAUGCUAGAGAAUGCGAGAUAACAAUGUGUGGAGCUGGAUGAACACAGCAGGCCAAGCAGCAUCUCAGGAGCACAAAAGCUGACAUUUCGGGCCUCGACCCUUCAUGCGAGAGAACGUAACGUAAGAAAGAAGAACAGGACUAAGUAGUAUUAUCCUUCAAAGCCUUGUUGAGUUGAUUUGUCCUGUUUUGUUCCUUACUUUUACAUUUAUUAAAUCCACUUUUUUAAAAGCAUUCUUUCACAGGAUGAGGGCACUGCU
Molecule: long non-coding RNA, 1249 nt
Organism: Stegostoma tigrinum
Lineage: Eukaryota; Metazoa; Chordata; Chondrichthyes; Orectolobiformes; Stegostomatidae
Exons: 3
Source: RefSeq, a predicted model, not a curated record